RNAcentral lists this ribosomal RNA (497 nucleotides) under uncultured bacterium. RNAcentral describes it as "partial 16S ribosomal RNA". It matches the Rfam family "Bacterial small subunit ribosomal RNA", at positions 28 to 507 of the family's 1533-position model. The record is from RNAcentral.
GAUGAACGCUGGCGGCGUGCCUAAUACAUGCAAGUCGAGCGAACAGCCGAGUUGCUUUUCCUUCUGAAGUUAUCGUCUGAUGGGUGAGUAACACGUGGGUAACCAACGCAUAAGACUGGGACAAUUUACGGAAAGCGGAGCGAAUACCGCAGAAUAUAUUGCACCGCAUGGUUCAAGCGUGAAAUAAGGCUUUGUUGUCACCUCUGGAGGGAUACGAGACGCAUUCGUUAGUUGGUAAGGUAACGGCUUACCAGGGCAACGAUGGGUAGCCUACCUGAGAGCGAGGUCGGCCACCCGAGAACUGAGGCACGGUCCAGACUCCGACGGGAGGCAGCAGUAGGGAAUCUUCCGCGAAGGGCGAAAGCGGGACAGAGCAACGCCGGGGGAGUGAUGAAGGUGUUAGGAUCGGAAAACGCUGUUAUUAGGGAAGAACAAAUGUGUAAGUAACUAUGCACGUAUUGACGGUACCUAAUCAGAAAGCCACGGCUAACUACGUG